This 404-nucleotide ribosomal RNA is filed under the name uncultured Perkinsidae. RNAcentral describes it as "partial small subunit ribosomal RNA". It matches the Rfam family "Eukaryotic small subunit ribosomal RNA", at positions 30 to 432 of the family's 1831-position model. Lineage: Eukaryota; Perkinsozoa; Perkinsida; Perkinsidae. The record is from RNAcentral.
GCUUGUCUCAAAGAUUAAGCCAUGCAUGUCUAAGUAUAAACUAUUUUAUACUGUGAAACUGCGAAUGGCUCAUUAAAUCAGUUAUAGUUUAUUUGAUGGUACCUUACUACUCGGAUAACCGUAGUAAUUCUAGAGCUAAUACUUGCGUUUUCCCGACUUCUCGGAAGGGAUUGCAUUUAUUAGAUACAAACCAAUCGGUGGUUUACCACUGCUAUAUGGUGAUUCAUAAUAACUAAGCGAAUCGCAUGGGCUCGCCCGGCGAUAGACCUUUCAAGUUUCUGAUCUAUCAGCUAUUGACGGUAGGGUAUUGGCCUACCGUGGCGAUGACGGAUAAAGGGGGAUUAGGGUUCGACUCCUGAGAGGGAGCCUGAGAAACGGCUACCACAUCUAAGGAAGGCAGCAGG